This 714-nucleotide ribosomal RNA is filed under the name Triticum aestivum (bread wheat). RNAcentral's name for it is "partial small subunit ribosomal RNA". Lineage: Eukaryota; Viridiplantae; Streptophyta; Magnoliopsida; Poales; Poaceae. The record is from RNAcentral.
AUGCGCUGGCAGAAUAAAAUGUAUGCAAGAAAUGUAUGCAAAAUGUGGAGAUUCAAUGUGGAGAGAACAAAAUGUAUGCAAGAAAUAGUUUGCGGCUGCUCGGGUAUACCGAAAAGAAGUAAUACAAGGUCUUGCCGGUGCAGAUGUCCAGCAAUGAUAAGGUUACUACGCUCAAAGGACAACGGAUGGUAUAUAAGCGAGCACAGGGCAUUCCACAACCACUCUCUCACAGAUAAGUGUGGACAGAAAAUAUAUUGGCCCUCGCAUAGACAUAUCGACAUUUAUAUACGAGAUGUUAUCAAGCAGCUGCGUGCAAAUAAUAUUAGCAUUGGCAAAGUCUACAACAUAAUUGGCAGUUUCUUUGGCUCCAUGAGCAGUGUGCCUUUCAGCAAGAGAGCGUUGAGGGGGCUUUGUGGACAGAUUAGCCGAGAUCAGGCAGAUGAUGACGUCAGAAAGACAAUAAAAGUUUUUGUUGAAUUGGGAUCCAAAGAUUCAAGGUUGUACUACAGAGUACAGCCAGACACGGACAGCCGCAUACGAAAUCUGUUAUGGUCAACAGGAGCAAGCAGAGCACAUUACCACUACUUUGGAGAUGCAAUAACUUUCGAUACAACAUACCGUACAAACAUGUAUCAUAUGCCAUUCGAUUUGUUUGUCGGAGUAAACAAUCAUUUCCAAAGUGUCAUAUUCGGAGGAGUUUUAGUUAGAGAUUAG